AUGUAAUCUGACAUCUAUUUUUAUUUUAUUUUUUACAGAAAUUCUGAGCUGCUGCAUGAAUUUAUGCAUGAACAUUCAUCAAACAUAUAAGGCUGCAAUUUGGAAAAACUUUCAAGCUAAUGCUGCUGAAAUGGAUGUCAAGGGGACUAUGAAGAGGUGGCUCCAGCUGGCAGAUCAAAAGGGUGGACUUCGGGAGGCAGACACACUGUUAAACGUAUUUAGCUGAUCCAGUCCGUAUCCAGACCAGACGGUCGACCUGCAACCAGAAAUGACCACAACACACAUCCCUGACUGUCAGCGGAGACCAUGUCAGCUAGAUGACAGAUUCCUAUGAAGACCUCAUUGAUGGCCCCAGCACAGAUCCUCAGCAAAGACUACGAGAACCAGACCCUCUGCACAGACCCUUUUUACCAGAUUCACCUGCUAGCGUGAUGUUUCUUCAAGCAGAAGUUGGAUGAAAUAUUCUGAAUGAUAUCAAUCCACAAUCUGACUUGUGAUGCACCCUGGAAUAAUCACAUCACGUUCAUUCAUUUGGCCAGACGAGACCGUUUCCUGACUGAGCCUGGUCUUGUUUGGGUUCCU
Onychostoma macrolepis is the source of this 582-nucleotide long non-coding RNA. RefSeq lists it as uncharacterized. The record is from RefSeq and is a predicted model, not a curated record. The transcript has 3 exons. NCBI's taxonomy places the organism in Eukaryota, Metazoa, Chordata, Actinopteri, Cypriniformes, Cyprinidae.